This 377-nucleotide long non-coding RNA is filed under the name Hordeum vulgare. RNAcentral describes it as "long non-coding RNA (HVUL_LNC010783)". The record is from RNAcentral. Lineage: Eukaryota; Viridiplantae; Streptophyta; Magnoliopsida; Poales; Poaceae.
GUUUGUUUAGUGGUUGGAUAAUCAAGCUAGCUAGGUUGAUGAUUGACAAACAAUAGCUAAUGAACAAUUAACAAUGGAGGAUUAGUUGAGCAGCUAUAUCAGCUGAUCUUCAAUCAAUCAUGAGAAUGGACAAAGACAAAGCAACAAUAAUAUAGACAUACAAAUGACUGCAGAUAUUCAAACACUUGGAUCUUGCAUGACACGGAACGAGCUUGCGUACAGCAUGAUUGGUGCGCAAUUGGUGAGAAGAAUCAUGGAAGGCACACACAAACGCAAAGUAUUCCAUUUUCUAAUUGAUCUGGAAGAGAAUAUAGUGGUGAGGUCACGGUUCAUGCAUGCAUGCACCAUCAAUAAUUUGAGCUACUAGUAGGAGAUCC